AGAUGAGAGAUAAGAUACUUAAACCCCCGGGGUGAUACCCGGCGUGAUGCUCAAGAACUGGCAGCUGUCAGGGUUGUUGAUGAAGAUUUGCAAGUCCAAGAAAGGAUGAUUCCUGGAUGCGGCCCUGCUAGGAACAGAUCCUUCAUCUGCCAAGUGGGAAAUUGCAACCCGCCCUGUAGGGGCACGUGUGGGGACUGAGGACGUAGUGGCUGAGCAGCAGAAGCAAACAGCAGUUCACUGUGGAGAACUCACAAGCACUCAGGAUGGCGGCCGCGGCCUGUGCCUCCACGGGAACCUGGGGCCCCUGUGCAGGAGAGCUUGUCAAGGCCUUCCAGUGCGCUGUAGCACAUCAGAGCCCAGCGCUGCUGCUGGAGGAGGGUUCCAGAGGGCCUAGGGCAGCCUCACAUUCUCCUUUUGUUUCUGACCUUUGCAGUAUUUCCCAAUAAAACUGUGACACACAGCUUAUGCUUUGGACUAGACAGAAAGCAGAAAAUGGUCAGGUUGCCCAGACCUUAACAAGGAACAGAUUGACAAGAAGCACAUCGCUCCCUCCCAUCUCUCCCAAUCCUCCAGGAGAAGCAUCCAGAACUACGGGUCCCCAGGCCGCCAAAAGGACGCGGACUCUCAGUGGCAGGCCGUGGAAGGGCAGAGACAUUGGAGUCUAUGGUCCUGGGUUUGGACUCCAGGCUGAUCGUACAGCUGGUUUGCCCAGGACAGUCCCAGAUCAGGCCUAGUGACCGUGGAUAAUGAUUGCUAGCACCCCCUUCCCCUUCCAAAGGUGUCCUUGUUUGCCUGAGAAAUUACAAGGUCUUCCUGUGGGUACGCGACUUUUGCUUUAACUUCUUUGAACCUCCAUUUUCACAUCUGAAAAAUGAGAAUCAUCUUUUAGACACUGCAGGAUUAUUGUUGAUAGUUAUACAUGAUUGAAAUAAUGGUGAUUAAAUAAGCUAUUGUCAACUUUAAAAUAAAAUAGCCAGUUAUUUCACCAGCAAAAUGAGUUUAUUUGGGAAUACCGAAAGAAUUGCAAUUCGGGACACGUGAACUAUGCUGAGCCACAGGCAGGUCCUGAGAACAAAGGCGGGGAGCUUGCUUUUAUAGUGAAAAAGGGGGAGUUGGGAGGGGCUGUUCUAAAUGAAAUUUCAUUGGAGGAGAGGAAGAGUUCAGGGUGAUGACAGGUCCUUGUUGGCUGAGCUGGGGUAUUUUUCAUUGGCUGGGCUUGUUGCUGGGCAAAAAGAAAAUCUUCCUUCCUCCACAGGAGUAGUAGAGCAGGAGGCAACUUCCUGCUGGAGAUGCAAGGUGCAUCUCUUCCUGUUGGGGAUAAUUGAGGAUGAGUGGUAGGGCGAGAGAGCUCCCACUAGAAGCCUUCCUGAUUCCAAUUUUAGUUAAAGUUUCUAUUAUUAAUAUUCACAGUAUAAUGGCUAGUACUUUAAUAUUAACAUUGCUCUGGCUUAUGCUCCCACCUUCUCCAAAGUAUUUAAAUAAAAUUCUGGCUGAUCCUGUGACCUCUGGUCCAGCAAUUCUCAACCCUUAGGGAACAUCAGAAUCCCCUGCAGGGCUUGUUAAAACAGAUGCUGGGCCCAACCCCAGAAUUUCUGGUUCAGUGGGUCUGUGGUGGGGGUGGGGGCUUGAGACUUGGCAUUUCUAACAAGCCCUGGGUGAGGCUGAUGCUGCUGGUCUGGGGACCACGUGCUCAGCACCGCUGAUCUGGUUUCUUCUUUUCUGUUCACUUCCCUGCUCCCGCCAGAAUGAUCUUUCCAGGACACUAAUCAGUCCAUGUUGCUUCCACUGCUUGAAACCUUUCCGUGGCUCUCUAGUGUCCUCAACAAAAAGCCCACCUCCUUAGCAGGGCACUCAAGACCACCCGUCUUCCCUGUUGCCUUCACCUCCAGUUGCAGUGCUCGCCUGCAGCCUGGGCAGCCUUCUCGAGGGGCAGGCUCCUUAGCGACAAGCUCAGGCACCAGGCAGUUCUGGGCCUGAGUUCUGGCUCGGCACAUGCUCUAUUGUGACUUUGGGCAAGUAACUGAGCUCCCUCGUGCACGUGGAAACGGAGCUUAGCAAGGUAGAAAAUUCUUUCCUUCGCGCUGAGCCAGGAAGGCUAAAGGAACUGCGUGGGGUGCGGCAGCUCCGCGCCUGCCCUGUGGGGAGGCCCCUCAGGGCCAUCUGAUGGUCUCCAGGGCCCCAGCGUGCCUGCCUGACCUGCUGCUCUGGUCCCCGCGUUCUGGCGACUCUUGCUGACCCGUCUAAGUACCAGCGGACGGCGCCCAGGCCAGACCUCUGUGAGUGCGUGGUCAGGGGGGCUUCCUGGAGGAGGUGGAACUUGGGCGAAAUGUCCCUUUCAAUAUGGUCACCAGCUUGCUGUUUUCUAUACCCUGUUUCAUUUUUUUCACUGAAUUUUCUUUCACUCAUUCUUCCAUUUCACAGCAACUAUGAAUCGAGCCGCUCUUCUGCGCCAGACGCUGUGCCGGGGCUACAGAGGAGAACAGGCUGGAAGCCCCGGAGGCUGGCUGGGAGGCAGCGGGCGGGAGGAAGGGGCAGGGGCUUUGGAGCAAGCGCGCCUGGAACCGAACUCGCGGUCGACCUCGCCCUGGCUGGUUCGCCGGCUGGGCGGCCGUGCGGGGCGUGGUCUCUGAGAGGGGGCUGCAGACCCCCAGGGCGCAGGCGUGCUGGGGAGGGGAUGCGCGUGUUCGCCGAGCGCUGGGCCGAGGGAAGGAGCUCGAGGUGGGCGCCCCGGGGGAGAGGGGGCUGCACACCUCUCCCCCAUAACCCUCCCUAAGGCCCCAGCAGCCCCUGAAAGGAAAGCCUUCCUCUGCCAGCCGCCGCCUGUUUCUCUUCUCCAGAGCCAGUUCCAGAUUCAUCCCGCGGGCUCUCAAAGGGGAUCACAGUCCCCGCGGGGAUGAACUGAGACCAGCAGUGGUGGCCCCGAGAUCGUGGCAUCCCCCUGUGCUCUGCGGCACAGGCGGGCACCGGGAGGGAGGAGGAGCCACACCCCCGAGGGCCUCCUGUCGUGGGGCGCCUGGCUCGGAGAGGGGCCGGUGUCGGAGUCUGCUCCCCCGGCGGUACCGCGCUGGGCGGCUGGCACAGCAGACGUUUUCCCCACGCCUGGAGGCUGGACGUCCAAGGUCCGGUGUCAGCAGGGUUGGUUCCUUCUGAGGCCUCUCUCCCUGGCCUGUAGACGGCUGGCUUCUCCGUGUCUUCACGUGGUCUUCCCUCUGUAUCCGCCUGUGUCCUAAUCUCCUCUUCCUAGAAGGACGUCAGCCAUGUUGGACUAGGGUCCACCCUGAUGACCUCACUUUAACUUCAUCACCUCUUUAAAGGCCCUGUCUCCAAAUACAGUCAAGGUUUGAGGUGCUGACGCUCAGGACUUCCACGUCCGAAUUUUGGGGGCACACAAUUUAGCCCAUAACAGGUGGCCAGCCUCCAAGGUGGCCCCCAAUGAUCCUGCCUCCUUCUACUCACACCCUUGUGACGUCACUUCCUACCCUAUCCUGGGGUUGGCCCAUGUGACCAAUAGUACAUGGCGGAAGUGAUGGUGUAUCACUUCCCAUGGGAGGGUAUAAAAGACCCCAUUUCUGUGCUGGUUACUCUUGCUCUCUCUUGGAUCAUUUGCUCUGGGGGAAGCUGGCUGCCAUGUCAUGAGCCUGAUGUGGCCGGGAACUGAGGCCCCCUACCAACAGCCCCGAGAGCUAGCGGUUGUGACAACAGGGCCUUCAGCUGCAGUUAAACCCUCAGAUAACUACAAACCCCUGAGACCCUGAGCCAGAACCGCCCAGCUUGGCUGCUCCUGGACUCCUGAUGCUCAGAAUCUAGGUCUGUGCUUGAGAAGGCCGUUUCUGAGUAAAUUAUGGAGAAAUCCUGAGGCUCGCUCUCCGUUAUCAGGCGUCCCCGAGCCGCCCAGACCUGUGGAGUGAGAGGCUGUUGGCUCUACAAACAUCUUUGAAAAGAUAGUUGGUGCCUCUGCUUGCAAGAUAUGCAGAAACAUGAGGACCGGCUCCCACAGCAGCGAGUGCCACAGCCCCGGGGGUGCUCAGUGAGCGCCUCGGCUCGGACUUCUGUACUCAGCGUGGAGUGGACAGGCAAGUUCUAGGCUUCCUACCAAAUCAGAGAUUCCACAAGAUUCUGGUUCUCUUCCUUGGUUUUGGGAGAGCCUGAAGUCAAGACAGAGAAAAUGAUGACGUGAAUGACAGGGCUCCUCCAUACAGCGGGGCUGUCCACGAAGCCCCUGUGACCCACAGGGCAAGGACUGUGUUCUCUUACCUGUGGAAUCCAGUGCUCAUCCUGGAGCUGGCACAUCAAAGGACUUCUAAGUAGGGCUGGCUGAAGACUCUGGGAGAACAUGGUCAUACUACACAUGCACACAGUUCUGACUUGCUCUGCGACCUUGGCCAGGCAUUUUGUCUCUCCACAUCUCAUUGGUAAAAUAAGGAAUUUAACGAGAUGUCCUCAAAUAUCUCUUCUAGUUGUAGAAGUCUAUGUGUCUGUAACAUAAUUAUAAUUAUCAAUUCCUACAAAGUGCCAGGAGAUAAGAAACAUGAUUUCUCCUCCUUCAAGGAUUUUACUACCAAGUUGGGAAAUAUAUUAUUGUUAAUUAUUCAUGUACAUAAAUGCCAAAAAACGACACUGGGCUAUAUGUGAUUAAAUCUCCAAAGGAGAGACAGGAUGUGUAGUCGGAGUGAUUCGUUUAUACGCUGAGCAUUUACAGAGCACAGACGAUCUAUGAGCUAGGUUCUGUUCUAGGGGUUAUGUUGACACAAGGUCAAGACAAUAAGCUAUAGGGGCAACAGCCAGAACUCAAAACCAUCAAAGGAUCUUGGGAAAAUGAUUUAAUCCCCUGAGUCAAGAAAUUUUUCUCUAUCCUUCUAGGUUCUUCUGGCUAGUCUAAGAAUUAAACUGAUGUGAGACAGAUUAAGAGGAGAAAGUCAAGCACAGUUUAAUAACAUGUAUAUAUGUGGGAAACCUAGGAAAACUGAGUAAUUUGCCAAAAUGGCCAAAGCUACCACCUCAAAUAUCAUCUUCAGCUAAAGACAAAAGAGGAUGUUAGGGUAGUGGUUUGGGAUUUCAAAGGGGAGGAAGGCAAUUCACAUGGAGAUGGAAAAGCAAAUGUUUGGUAAAGGAAUGUUUGCCAUGGCUUGCAAAGACUAAGAGACUGGAGAGGACUUUGAUUCACUGGGCCUUGCUCGGUUCCUCCCUGUCUACCACACCUAGUUCAUCUUAUACUCAGUUCUCUAUGGUGACAGCUCCUUCCUGGAACAGGCCUUCUACCUUAGAAUCUUUUAGGCAGUUAGGAGAAGGUCAAAAUUUCUUCCUGAGUCUUUUGUUCUUAAAAAUAAUCAAGCCGAAGAGACAUUUUGGUGUGGCAAAUUCUGCUCCCCUACAAGUCUCACUUUCCAUAUAUGUAAAAUUGAGAUUAAAUAAAGAAUUAUGGAGAGGAUUUGGUGAUUUAGUGAGUUUGAAAAAUGCUGGGUAAAUCGAAGGUGAGAUACCACUAUUAGUUGCCAUCAUUACUCACAAAUUUCGUUUGCCUAAUGAUUUUCCAUUCUCAGCAUUCGGGCUGCAGAGAGGGGCGUGCUGUUGUCCUUGGUCUGGAUCGUCGAACACCUUUCUGACCUGGUCUCUCUGCAUCCAGCCUUGGUUCCUCCAAUGCACACAGUAGUCAGAGUGAGCUCCCCAAAUCUCAUUGACCGAGUCAUUUCCCUGCUACGAUCCCAGAGGACACAUAAUUAGAAAAUGGGGGAGGGGCCAAGGGGCUUCCAUUUGAUCUGUAGUGUUUUAUAUUUUCAGCUAGGUAGUGGGUUCAUAAAUAUUAUUUAUACCAGUUAUACUUUUUGUCUGCCUAAAAUGUUUCUUAAUUAAAAGGCCAUUCGGGGUGGGGUGGGGGAGUACCAAGGACAUUGUGCUCAUUGACUGUCUCUUGACACCCUGCAAUCUCUGUGGAGGGGGACAGCAUCCUCCAGGGUGUCAGGAACAGGAGGGCUCGGAGUCAAUUCUCUGGGUCACUUGAGACUUCCAGAAGGUACUAUUUUUAAAAAGAAAUCAAACCUGUGUUCAUGAAUUGAGGUCUUUAUUUUCCAUACAGUGUUUGACAGUUUUCCCAGAGAGAAAGAAAACAAGAGAAAAUGUGGGAAAAUUCCCCAAAUGCAUGCAGUCACAGCAAGGGAGAAAACUGUUCUGGUUGCCCAGCUUCUGACUGAAAUGCAGAGGAAGGUCCCACUGUCCCCCAGGCCCCAGGCCUCAUUCUAAUUUAUUGAGGGAAGGACCCAGGAGGUAAAUCUCGGUGUCAUUCUCUAAGCCACCUGAAAUGAGCCCAUUAAACUGCCUCCCGUGAAUGGAGGCGUUUUUCCCAGGGUGGCAUGCCCCCACCCUCAUCCCACACCAGCCUCACCGAGGGCACCGCCACUCUGGGAGCCCAUGCGGCAUGUCCGACAAUGGGGCAUUCAGGAAGGCCUUUCCGGAUGGGGUAGAGGCCUGUUUUAUGCCCUGUUAAUUACUGCAACAAUUUAUAAAAUUCGUGACAAACAUAAAGCCCUCACAGAGAUUGUAUUUCAAAUGGUAUUUACCUGCAACAGAAUCCCCUUUGUUUUUAAUUCCUGGAUUUAUGAGCUGUUGCACAACAAAAUGGAACCACCCCUUGUCCCCAAUUGGGGGCACUGGCUGAGAGACCUCACGUAUGCUGUGGAGACAGAAACCUACUCAGACUCAGACUGAGACACCACAGUCGCAGACCCGCCUCCAGUCCAUGGUGUGUCUCAGUUUUGCAGCCUGUGAACUUGGGGAGUGGAGGUUGGACCAGGGCAGGUAAGUUUUCUCCCAAAGAAUCUUGGUGUCUCUGAGCUGAAAGGAACCUCGGGCAUGAGCUAGUCCAACUGUGUAUCCAUCACAGGAAUCCAUCUUCUCUAUCUCUGUUUGCAUCCUCCAGUGACAGGGAGCUCCUUACCUGACAAAGCAGGCCAGAUUAUUGCCCUUGGUCUCUAGUCUUGUCCCUUUUUUCUCCUCGCCAAUCUUCCCCUUGGCCACAAGAGCCAUUUUCCUAAAACUCACAUCUGAUCUUGUGCUCCUGCUUAAAAUCACUCAGUGGCUUCCGUUUGCUUUUGAGAUAAGUCCAAAGUCCUUAACAAGGCCUGCGAGUUCCUGCAUGGGGUGGUCCCUGCCCUCCUGUCCACCUUCAUCUGCAGUGGCCCCCAUCCAUUCUUCUCCCAGUAAUGCCAACCUACUUUCAGUUAUCCCCUUGGAUUAGAUUCCACAGUGAGACUCAUGUAACAGAAGGGCCACGGGCUUGACUUUAGGGGCAGCAAGUAAGAGAGUGUUUGUGGAGCUGUUUGAUGGUGGCUCCUCAGCUUCCAGGGUUGGGGAUGAGGAGAUGGGAGCCCUACCGAGGGAAGAGAGGAAGCUGGCAGCUCCAGAGAAGAGAGAGAAGCAGGAGCCCAGCAAGAAAGGACGGACUCUGUGGACAGUCGGGAUCCUGAGAGCGGAGAAAGGCUAUGUAGUUCCCUGCGGUGAAUCCGAGCUGUGGAAGCUGCAGCAUCAGGAGCUGGUCGGGUCCCCGCCGUGGGGGCAGCGGAGAAGGAAGCUGAGCUCAGCCCGCUUCUUCUCUCCUCUGCACAGCAGGUCUGGCUUUCAGUGAGUUUCCAGCUGCAGGGAAAGCUGUACAUCUAUGCAAAGGGGCUAACUUUAUGAGUCUUGGACGCGGAGUUGCUUUCAUCUUCUCCUCAGUGUCAGAAUACGUGUCCUCUGUAAGAUACGCGGGAGACGCUCAGAUCUGCACCCUCAGAAGCAGGGGAGCAUUUAUAGAGCAGUUAAAACCUGGAGCGACUGUGUCCUCUGACUUCCAAAGGGCCUAUUUUAAUGCUCGUGUGCUGAUUUCUCUUAAGGGAAGAGCUGUUUCAUGCAGAGACCUAAAGAAAAGAGCAGGAACUUCAGUCCAUCAGAUUUCAGCCGUUCCACUUACUGGUUGUAUGACCACAAGCAAAGUACUUCCUCUCUCUGGGUCUUGGCUGUAGUAUCUGAAAAAGUGAGGCCGUUGCUUGGAAGAGCUCUUUGAGAUGUUCGAGUCCUCAGGAAGCAGAGACUUGACUCUACAAGAUGGAGUUAGCGCUAAUACCUCCCUCUCAGAGUCGCUCUGCAUAGGAAUUAAAAUAUCUAUGUUGUUAUAAAUGCUGAAAGGAUGAGGCUUCUGCAUUUUCCAUCAGACCACAUUGUAAGGAGGAGCCGGGAAGAAAAGAUGCAAUCUGUUUAAGUCGAGGUGCGGGAAAGGGGGAGUUAGGGUGUUUUUGGCUGUAAGUAACAGAAGACCUAACUCAAAUGGCUUAAAUGAUAAGAAAAUUUGUCAUUUCAUAUUUUGGGAUGUCGGAACUAUGGGGGUCCUUAGGUUGGUAAGUUCAGUUGCUCAAUGACACUAUCGAAGGCCCCGGAGUGAGUCCCAACAGCCCCAGUAGCGAACUCUCGUGUUUCUUACCUUCUCUCCUAAGCACACAAACACCCGCUACCUGAGCAGAAAGCAUAUGAGAGCAAGGAAAGAGGCGGACUGGCUCCCGGGGGGGAACUAAUACAUUCCCCACAACCGGACACCCAGCAAGUGGUAGGGUUGAUUCAAGGUCAAUGACUACUUCCGAGUAGUUCAGUCUUUGAAUGCACACUGGCUGGUGUGGAGGGAGGCAACAAGAUGCCCAGGGAGAAACACAGUGUCUGUAGAACCAUCUGCCUUGGGUUCAGAUUUGGCUCCACCCUGACCAAACGUGAGCGCUUAGGCCCAUAUUUGAUGGUAGUGUUCAGUCAGUCCAGAGAAUGCAAAUCAAGACCAUAAUGAGAUACCACUAAAUACCCACCCACGAAAAUGGCUAAAAUGAAAGAGACCUUAAUUUUAGGAAUUGGAAACACUGAAACUUUCAUACAUUGCUGGUGGGAGUGUAAAUUGAUAUGUACCUGGCGACUGAUCUAGCCAUUCUGUUCCUGGUUAUAUGUCUAACAGAAAUAACUGGUUAUGUCCAUCAAAAGACAUCUAUAAGAGUGUUCAUAGCAGCCUAAUUCGUAAUAGUGCAAACUGGCAUGCACUCAAGCGUCCACCCACAGGAGAAUGGAGAAAUACAUUGAAGUGUGGUGGACGUGUGUCAUGUGCUGCUCAGAUCCUGCUUCAAGAUGGGACUCGUUGCCCCAGCUGUUGGGAAUGCUGUGGCAGAGAACUCUUCCAGAAUUGCCUGGGCUGCAAGCCUUGCCCAAGGCUGCUCUUCCUAGGGUAGCCCACAGCUACACAGCACACCUAAGACAGGCUAUUUUAGCUUCUGAGCUCUCUGUGGGAUUGCCUGAGGUGGUCCUUGGGUCUGCACUGAGCUCUGGACUUCUCCCUGUCCCCAAUCCUGCUGCCUGUCCCUACCUUCCGCAGCUGUCUUCCCAAGGACACUUGCUAGUAACUGUGCUGCAUGCUAAUCUCUGUCUCAAGAGUCGGCUUCCCAGAGAACAAAGCUGCAGUGUGUGUGUAUUCAUACAAGAGAAUAUGGCGCAGCCAUAAAAAGAACAAACGAUGACACAGGCAACAUGGAUGAAUAUCGAGUGAGGAAAGCCAGGUAUGAAAAGUACACGCUAUAGAUCCCACUUUAGCGAAGGUGAAAAACAGGCAAAACCAAUUCGUGGUGAAAGAGGUCAGAAUAACAGUUACCCCUGGCAUUAGGGAGCUUUGGGAGGUGCUGGAAAUAGUCUAUAUGUUGACUCAGAGGGUAGUUACACACACACGCACACACAUUUAUACAUACGUGUGUUUGUUUAUAUUUAACAUUUAUUGAGCUGUACACUUUGAUUUGUGUACUUUACUGUAUUAAGCUAUACCUCAAUAAAAAUAAUAAAAUGAAAAAUAAUGUAAUAAAAACAUUGGACUGUGUUAUAAUUGCCUAUGUCCCCUGACAGCCUGUAGCUCCCUGAGGACAGACUGCCUGGCUCGCGGCGGGUGUCCAGUAAACGUUUGUUGAGUGAAGUAAUGAGUGUUUCCCUGGUCUACCACUGAUUUUUUGGGUGGCCUUCACUAAGUCUACUGCGGGAACUUCAUUUUCCAACCAUAAAUAAGACAAAUAGCAAACUCUAAUUCACAUGUUAUACAAAUCAAAUGAGAUAAUUGGUGGAAACACACAUGUAAAUUGUGAACUCUGAGUAAGAGUUAGUACAUGGGUUGUGAAGUUGAACCGACAGAGUUAAAAAAUAAGCUCCACCAGCUAUCAACUGUGUGACCUGGGGAAAGUUACUUAACACCUCUGUGCUUCAGUUUUUGUACCUAUAAAAUGGGGUAAAAAAAAGUACCUACCUUGUCAGGUGACUGUGAUGAUUGAGAUAAUUGGAGGCACUUAGGAUAGUGGCUGACACUCAGUAAAUUGUCAGUAAAUGCCAGUUGGUGUUACCAUGUAAGGAAUUUUCCCUGGAGAAAAUUUUCCUCCCCUUCCCUUUCCCCAACUCGGCUUUCUUCCCCUUUUCCCUUCUCUGGAGCCCACUAGGAUCCUGGGAUCCAGGCAUUCAGGCCUUAAAGAAAUGAGUUUCCCCAAAGGGCAGCUGGCCUCCUGCAAAGGUGAUUACCCCACGAGGCAGCCCCACACUCUCAAAUUCAGGAGUCUGAGCAUCAUUCAGCCAGCCCCACCCUCCCGAAUUCAGGAGUCUGAGCAUCAUUUAGGCAGCCCCACUCUCCCGAAUUCAGGAGUCUGAGCAUCAUUCAGGCAGCCCCACUUUCUCGAAUUCAGGAAGUCUGAGCCUCAUUCAGGCAGCCCCACACUCCUGAGUUCACGAAGUCUGAGCAUCAUUUUUUCCACCAGAGGAGGAAAAGAGGUGUUAAUUGGCUGUUUGUGAAAUAUCUGGGCU
Equus caballus (horse) is the source of this 10827-nucleotide long non-coding RNA. RefSeq lists it as uncharacterized. The record is from RefSeq and is a predicted model, not a curated record. NCBI's taxonomy places the organism in Eukaryota, Metazoa, Chordata, Mammalia, Perissodactyla, Equidae.